Long non-coding RNA from Heterocephalus glaber (naked mole-rat), 2398 nucleotides. The record is from Ensembl. Lineage: Eukaryota; Metazoa; Chordata; Mammalia; Rodentia; Bathyergidae.
AUCAUUUGCUCCUAAGUAACUAUCUCAGUAUGUAAUUAAAUCAAAGUCAGUCAGGUGCCAAUUUGAGCUUUUGCCUCACUCUAACAACGUCCUGCUCUCAGGAGCUAAACAAGACAGGACUGACCUGAAAUAACCCCACCGAGCUCUGACCCAGGGACUCUCCAGAGCAGUGGACGCUUUCUUCCCAGGAACCAACUGUGAGAUGCUAGCGCCUGACCCAUCUUCUUCCUCAACUCCACCUUGACUGGAGACUCUGCCUUGAGGAUCUUCCCAAAUCCACAGAAAGGAAUGAAUACUUUCUAGAGAAUGAAGAACAAAUGAACUCUGAAGACUGUCCUACCUUCGACAGUGUUCUGCGAGUUUUUACAAAAAUGACUACAAUUUGCCUGAACUUAGUGAGCACUGAGCUCUUGAAACAGAAUCUACCCAACAUUAAGAUUGGAGGACCAAUCUCCUGAGCUGGAAGAGAUCAUGAAAAUUUUCUCAGAAAAGAGCACUGGAUGGAGAAAAUAGGAGCUCCGAUGGCUUCUUUAUCACCUUACUCUGUGACUCUGGAUAAAAUUUCCAUAUUCAAUAUUUCUGUAAACAAAAUCAAUGAUGCUUGAUUAUGGUUGCCAAGAUAUUUGAAGGUUUUAUGAUGAUUUUCAUGAAAUGGGACGUUUCUGCCUAUUGUGGGAAUUGCAGUAUAGACCUACCAUCUCUGAGAAAAGUUGGACCACCUACCCCUGGUGGAAUGGUAUUGGCUUCGAAAGUCAAUAUUGGCUGGAAGUAUUUAAGCAGAAGUUACCCAAGAUACUACAGUGGAGCCAUGACAGAUGCAUUGGCUUCCUUAAAGCUUUGGGAGGAUCAUACCACGUGGAAGCAAUUUAUAGAUUCUAAAGAACUUUGCAAUUGGACAUCAUAUUCUGGAUUUACUGAAGUGAUCUCAGACCAGUACUACUCCACUGUGUAUAAAUCCUACACCUUGAAAUAACUUCAAGAAUCAACAAAUGGAAUCAUAUAAAAUUGAAAAACUUCUUUACAGCGGAGGAAACAACUCAGAGAGUGAGGAGACAACCUACAGAAUGGGAAAAAAAUUUUGACAGCUAUUCCACUGGUAGGGGACUAAUAUGUACAAUAUAGAAAUAACUCAAAAAAAUUAAGACUCCCUGAAGAAUAACAGACACAAUCAAAAAAUGAGUAACCUAAAUGAGUAGCCACUUCUCAGAAGAACCAAUAAAUACAUGAAGAAAUGCUCAGUGUCACAACUAUUAAAAAAUGCAAAUUAAACCACACUGAGAUUUCAUCUGACCCCAGAAAAAAUGGCCAUCAUCAAGAAUCAAACAAUAACAAAUAUUGGCAAGCCUGAGGAGGAAAUGGAACCUUUCUACAUUGUUGGUGGGAAUGAAAACCAGUACAAUCAUUUUGGAAAUCAGUAUGGAGAUUCUUCAAAAAAAUAGAAAUUUCAUUUUACCCAGCUAUUCUCCUUCCAGGUAUCUUCCUGAAAGUUUUGAAGACAUCAUAUUACAGUGAUAUAUGUUUAUCCAUGUACAUAGCAGCAAAAAUCCUCAUAGUUUACUCUUGGAAGCAGCCAAUAUGCCCAUCAACAGAUGCAUGGAUAAACAUUUUCUAUUCUUUCCAUUAACGUGAGAUGACCAUUAUUACUCUGUCCAUUGCCGAUUGGAUUAAUUUUGAUUAGCAGCUCUAUUUCCCCCUUUUCCAUGUCUCUAUUUGAGAGGAAUAUACUACUUAUUCAUUGAAGGGUGACUUACGACAGUAGAAGCAUGGAUUUACUGAAGAUGAAAGACCCACCAAGAGUGGUCCCAAUCAACAGUCUUGUAGCCUGAAUGAAAUAGGAAGGGGCAAGAGGAAAGAAGGCUCACUUCUGUUUCUUCAGAGGAACUCCAGUCUCUCACUUCACCUUGGAUGUCUGUCUCCUGACUUGCAGCACAAACUCUUCAGCCCCCUGAUACAGACUCACACAAGACUCUAUAGGGAGCUUCAGGACUUUGAUUUUUGACUGGCUCCUUUGGAACUCUAGUGCACAGACACCCCUUUUGCAUUCUUCUGCCUCUGACCCAGUAGGUGGCCAUUGUAAGCCUAUGUUGUAAAGAUAGAUAGAUAGAUGAUAGAUAGAUAGAUAGAUGACCAAAAACACACACAUACUUCAGAAAAAGAAAAAUAGUAUGAUGUUUUCUCAACAGACGGUGUUACCCUUAUAUGGGGGACCCUAGAGGAUGUUGUAUAUCACAGAAAACCCAUUACACUGCCGAUCCUUAGAGGAGAAAUUGAAAAUGCAUGUGUAGCAAUCUGAAUGACCACAGUUACCUAAGCAGCAGUUCGCCGUACGAAUAAAUAUCUUCAAGGUAAUCAUCACCACUUUGAGCACCUCUUGUAAUUGUAGAGGACAAAGGUAACU